GACGAACGCUGGCGGCGUGCUUAACACAUGCAAGUCGAACGGAAAGGCCCUGCUUUUGUGGGGUGCUCGAGUGGCGAACGGGUGAGUAACACGUGAGUAACCUGCCCUUGACUUUGGGAUAACUUCAGGAAACUGGGGCUAAUACCGGAUAGGAGCUCCUGCUGCAUGGUGGGGGUUGGAAAGUUUCGGCGGUUGGGGAUGGACUCGCGGCUUAUCAGCUUGUUGGUGGGGUAGUGGCUUACCAAGGCUUUGACGGGUAGCCGGCCUGGGAGGGUGACCGGCCACCUUGGGACUGAGAUACGGCCCAGACUCCUACGGGAGGCAGCAGUGGGGAAUAUUGCACAAUGGGCGGAAGCCUGAUGCAGCAACGCCGCGUGCGGGAUGACGGCCUUCGGGUUGUAAACCGCUUUCGCCUGUGACGAAGCGUGAGUGACGGUAAUGGGUAAAGAAGCACCGGCUAACUACGUG
Molecule: ribosomal RNA, 468 nt
Filed under: uncultured bacterium
Lineage: Bacteria
Description: partial 16S ribosomal RNA
Rfam family: Bacterial small subunit ribosomal RNA
Source: RNAcentral